AUGAAAUGUUUGCAUAAAGAGAAUUGGUUAAAUACCCCUCUGAGGAACUUUGUCCUAACUUAAUUUUGUAUUUUUGUUUGCCAAAGUUUUGAAAAUAAUAAUUCCAAGGAUGUUUUCAGGUUCAUAAUGAUGAUGAGGUAAGGGCAUUGUUCAUGCUGCUCUCCAACUCAAGCAAUUGUGUGUUCAGAACUUCAGAUAGUGAAGGAGACAUGGGGGUUUCAAGUGGGAGACAUGCAAGGCAUUAUACCCGUUACACUUGGGCUCUCGAGACAGCAUUCUUUCCUCAGCUUUGUGAACUCGUGUGAAUCAACAAAAAGAAGAAGAGUACCCUAUACCAAACAUUUAUAGCACCGUUUUGAAUAUGUAUCUAGAUUCUUAGUCAGCGUGCCAUUUAUUACUGCUGCAAUGCAAUUCAUGAUUGAAAAAAAAAAACAGAAAAAAAUAAGAUCAUAUUUUGGUUAAUCCAUAAGCUCAAGAAAUGUAAUAUAGGAAUGUAAGAAAAGUUUUGUGCAGGGUAAUGAUGUUUGUUUGUUUUAACUAUUAUUAAAAAUCAAAUGAAAUGUUGUGGUAUUUUUUCUUUUUCU
Long non-coding RNA from Arachis ipaensis, 584 nucleotides. RefSeq lists it as uncharacterized. Lineage: Eukaryota; Viridiplantae; Streptophyta; Magnoliopsida; Fabales; Fabaceae. The record is from RefSeq and is a predicted model, not a curated record.